Molecule: small nucleolar RNA, 122 nt
Organism: Cavia aperea (Brazilian guinea pig)
Lineage: Eukaryota; Metazoa; Chordata; Mammalia; Rodentia; Caviidae
Source: Ensembl
ACACCCUCUGUCACUUUGCCAGUGGACUUACAUGUUUAUUAGUCAUUCAAGUGGAGCAAAGGAAAUAUCUUUUUAAAAUUCAGGCAAAUUGAGUGCUUUGGAAACUUUCAGAGGAAAUAAAU